AAGGCAGCAGUUGGUAAUAUUGCACAAUGGGCGCAAGCCUGAGGCAGCAACGCCGCGUGAGGGACGACGGCCUUCGGGUUGUAAACCUCUGUUGGCAGGGAAGAAGCGAAAGUGACGGUACCUGCAGAGAAAGCACCGGCGAACUACGUGCCAGCAGCCGCGGUAAUACGUAGGGUGCAAGCGUUGUCCGGAAUUAUUGGGCGUAAAGAGCUCGUAGGCGGUUCGUCGCGUCUGCUGUGAAAACCCGAGGCUCAACCUCGGGCCUGCAGUGGGUACGGGCGGACUAGAGUGCGGUAGGGGAGAUUGGAAUUCCUGGUGUAGCGGUGGAAUGCGCAGAUAUCAGGAGGAACACCGAUGGCGAAGGCAGAUCUCUGGGCCGUAACUGACGCUGAGGAGCGAAAGCAUGGGGAGCGUACAGGAUUAGAUACCCUGGUAGUCCAUGCCGUAAACGUUGGGAACUAGAUGUGGGGACCAUUCCACGGUCUCCGUGUCGCAGCUAACGCAUUAAGUUCCCCGCCUGGGGAGUACGGCCGCAAGGCGUAAAACUCAAAGGAAUGAC
This 559-nucleotide ribosomal RNA is filed under the name uncultured Frigoribacterium sp. Its description in RNAcentral is "bacterial SSU rRNA". It matches the Rfam family "Bacterial small subunit ribosomal RNA", at positions 345 to 914 of the family's 1533-position model. Lineage: Bacteria; Bacillati; Actinomycetota; Actinomycetes; Micrococcales; Microbacteriaceae. The record is from RNAcentral.